CCCUUGGGCUUGCUGUACAGACUGCUGCCCUGUGGGCUGGCUAGGUUGCUCUCUGCCACCAACCACUGCCAAACGCUGUGGACUAACUGAACGCCUGUGUUACCUGCUGGUCAAAGAUAGUUACUGCAUCUGGAGUAGAAAUCAGGGCUUCACUGUGUAGCUUUGACUAUACUGGAAUUCACGUGAUGAUCUUGGACUCACAAAGAUCCAACUGCCUCUGCCUCCUGAGUGCUGGGAUUAAAAGUAUGCGCCCCUACAGCAGGCUAAGUGAUUGUCACAUAACUACUUUCUGUGAUUUAAAAAAAAUAUUUUUGUAAUUAUUUUAUUUUAUGGGUAUGGGUGUUUUGCAUGAAUGUGUAUAUGUGCACCAUAUGUGGGUGCUAGGGACAGAAUCCAGGUCCUCUGCAAGGUCAGUACAUGCUCUUUAACCACUAAGCAUGUUUAGCUCCAUGAUUAUUUUUUUCUUGUAUUCGUUGCUCUCCAAGGAGUGGAUCCCACAGCUCUCUGUAUGCUUGCUGAGAGCCACAUCGCCAGUCUGCUCCUCCUCCCCUUUUUUCAUUUAUGAGACCAAGUAUCAUGUAGCCUAGCGUGGCUUUGAACUUGGGAUCCUUCUGCCUCUACCUCCUAAGUGUCAGGACUAGCAUUACAGUCAGUUUUAUACAAUGCUGGGAUGGAACCCAGGGCUUCACCCCGUUUGCUAGGCAAGUAUUCUACUGACUGAAUUACAUCUCCUAGCUCCCUGUUUUUUGUUUUUGCAGACAGGAUCUCACUCUAUAGCCUUGAGUGGUCCUUGUUUGGUCCAAAACAGCCCCCCCCCCCAAAGUGGCAGUGCUGAUGACAAUGUCUUAAACUGAAGAACUCUGACUGGGCAAUCAGAAGCCUAAAUUCUACAUUCUCCUAAAACUCACUUCUGUUUACCAGAAGUCUCCUUUAAUCUGACCUCAAAGGUCAACUACCUAGGGUCAAGGUCAUCUAGUUCUUCACUAGUCCUAGCAGCCUGUGUCAGCUCACAGUCCCAUCCAACAGACUCAAAUGAAGUCUGCUUCUUUGCCAGCAGGCUGUUUCUCUAUUUGAUACCCCCCCCAAUGGGGGACCGAAUAUUUCUGUUAUGGAAUAUUUUGGGUCCCAGUCUCUAGCUGCUGUAAACAGUUAGAGAGGUGCGAGAGGUGUGUGAGUAACUUUUGAGGAUGGAAGGUCAGGAGUUAGGGGCCAGCAACCAGAGAAGAGAGAGGACAAAGAAAGAUGGUUUCCUCAUGGUGUUGGCAGGAUGGUUAAGAAACACCAGAAAAGAUGGCUAAUAAAGAAAUGACUCUAGUUCUACAACAUGGAACUGAGAGCUCUCUGAAGAUGACAAGAUGCCUGUGUUUGAUCUUUAUCGCUGUUGGGUUACUGGGAGCUUCCAGGUCCACACACCCCCACUCAGGCCGAACCUCAUGGCUGUCGUGGGUUAAAGCUGAGACAAGCCGGGUCACGACAAAAUGGCGCCCGAACUCGGGGCCUGAGAAUGGGGGAAGAAGCCUUGGACACCACGAAACGGACAAGGCAGAGGCUUGGACUAUUCAAAGAGAUAGUCGUUGCAGGCGAACUGGUUGGAGAAGAAGCAUGCGCAGGAAAAAGAAGAAAGAAGUGGCCGAAUGUGGAGGAGAACGAGGCGCGCUGGAUACAGGAAGGAUUGGUGAGAUUUGUGGAACAGAGAAAAACGGGACCUGGGCCCACAGGAGACCAUCUGAAACAGCUGGAGUGAAACACUGAACCUGUAUUUCCUGAACCUUGAGGACAUCUGACCUACAGCUGGAGGAAGAAGGGAGACACACCCAGUUCCAGUUUUGAGAUGCUUUCCAGAGUUCCAGCUUCCCUACAGAUGGACUACAUUCACCCCUCUGAAUCCGUGAGUGCUCAUCCAGGAGCAGACUAAGAACUUGAUAAAAAACAGCUUGCUUUCUUGCCACAAACAGACACACAAAACUGUUUUGCCAGUUUUCCCAUUGGGAGAAAGGACCCAUUUAGUACAGUCGGAUACUGGCAUAAACCAGAGUGACAGAAGUUCCUUCACAAUGCUUAAACAAGACAUGGACAAAAGACUUUUUAGUUAACUUUCAAAGACUGAUAUUACAAACCUAUGUUAGAACUUCGGACUUUGAGCAAGAAAUAGGAAGGCUCAAAGGGCAUUGAGUCCCAGGCAGGGGACUUUUCUUUUCAAUAAAGAAAAGAGGGUUUAGAAUUGUGAAAUUGUUCAUACCCCACAGAUUGUGAGAAUAUCUUAUUGUCUUUUGAUUGCUUUGUAACUCACCCUAAUGUAUGUUCAUGAUGGAAUUGUUAAUGUCUGUGAUCUUGCUAUAUGUGUUAUACAAAUGUUAUUAGAGACUAGAAGUCAGAGUUCAUUCUUACAGGAAUGUAACGUGCAGUUUACAAGACUAAGGAUAGAAGUAUGUUUUAGGGAGCAAACUUUAAUAAGGUCCGUAUCAGAGGCACUAGAGGCAUUACCACAGAGAUUUUAAAAGGCCAUUUUAAACCUUUACAUGUCUUCAUCCUCAGGAGAAGGUUUGCAACCACGAGAGCUGAGAUGCUAUUGUCCUGGAGGUUUCUUGCUGAUUCAGAACGCUUGGAGCUGGACUAUGGCCCAUCCCCCACUAACCUUAUUUGUUUUACAGAGACUGGUUCCAGCCAAAGACGGGUACAGUUUUCCUUGCCUUCAGGGAAUCCUAAGACAGAAUACACAUGAUGGAAUUCGUGAUUCCAUGACGGGCACCCCUGUUAGGUUGAAGGGAGCCUCCUAAAACAGGCACAGUCAUCUGUCCUGAUGCAGAAACACAGGUUUCUUUUUAUUAAUUUAAGAGAGAGGAAUUGGGGGGCACCAAAUACUUCUGUUACGGAAUAUUCUGGGUCCCAGUCUCUAGCUACUGUAAACAGCAGCACCAGAAAGCUCCUGGUCACCAUUGUAUUAUUAAAUGCCAGUAGGGCUACUAUUGUUUACUAUGGCCUCUGGGUAAUAUGCCUCCUAAUUUGCAUCUAUAUGUGCCUAAGCAUCUAAAUAGGCCCUCACUUGGGUGGAGGUGUGAGAGAGGUGUGUGAGUAACUUGUGAGGAUGGAAG
RNAcentral lists this long non-coding RNA (3092 nucleotides) under Cricetulus griseus (Chinese hamster). Its description in RNAcentral is "lncRNA (ENSCGRG00015037497.1)". Lineage: Eukaryota; Metazoa; Chordata; Mammalia; Rodentia; Cricetidae. The record is from RNAcentral.